UGCCGACCAACCAUGAGCUCCCAGGUUCGCCAGAAUGAUUCCACCGAGGUGGAGGCAGCCAUCAACCGCCUGGUCAAUUUGCAUCUGCGGGCCUCCUACGCCUACCUCUCUUUGGGCUUCUAUUUCGACCGCGACGAUGUGGCUCUGGAAGGCGUGGGCCACUUCUUCCGCGAGUGGGCGGAGGAGAAGCGCGAGGGCGCCGAGCGUCUCUUGAAGAUGCAAAACCAGCGUGGCGGCCGCACCUUCUUCCAGGAUAUCCAGAAACCCUCUCAAGGUGAGUGGGGUAAAACCCUGAAUGCCAUGGAAGCCGCCAUGGCCUUAUAGAAGAGCCUGAACCAAGCCCUUUUGGACUCUCAUGCCCUGGGAUCCACAGACCCCCAUCUCUCUGACUUCCUGGAGAAUCAAUUCCUAGAUGAGGAGGUGAAAUUCAUCAAAAAGAUGGGUGAGCAUCUGACCAAUCUUCGCAGACUGGCCGGCCCGAGUCAGGGCUGGGUGAGUAUCUCUUCGAAAGGCUCACCCUCAAGCACGACUAG
This is an RNA transcript of Carlito syrichta (Philippine tarsier), 533 nucleotides long. It is a transcript of the gene named ferritin light chain pseudogene, with no coding region annotated. The record is from RefSeq and is a predicted model, not a curated record. Lineage: Eukaryota; Metazoa; Chordata; Mammalia; Primates; Tarsiidae. The transcript has a single exon.